CGGCAUCAGCUCAAAUUUGGAAUCUGGCUUCUUUGGAGCCCGAGUUGUAAUUUGUAGAAGAUGCUUCGGGUGUGGCUCCGGUCUAAGUUCCUUGGAACAGGACGUCAUAGAGGGUGAGAAUCCCGUAUGUGACUGGCUGCCUUCGCCUAUGUGAAGCUCUUUCGAC
Molecule: ribosomal RNA, 166 nt
Filed under: Helotiales sp.
Lineage: Eukaryota; Fungi; Ascomycota; Leotiomycetes; Helotiales
Description: partial large subunit ribosomal RNA
Rfam family: Eukaryotic large subunit ribosomal RNA
Source: RNAcentral